GAACGCAUACUUUAGAGUAUGAGUGGCAGACGGGUGAGUAACGCGUGAGACAUCUACCUUACAGCCCGGUAUAAAUAUCUAUAUAGAGGCGAAAAUCUUUAUAUAUGAGUGAAUCCCGGAUAUUUUGAAUAAAAAAAAAGGCAAAGAACCGUUGUAAGAUGAGCUCGCGUAGGAUUAGGUAGUUGGUAAGGUAAAAGCUUAUCCAAGCCGAUGAUCCUUAGCUGUUCUGAGAGGAUGAUCAGCCACACUGGGACUGAGACACGGCCCAGACGCUUUCGAGCGGCAGCAGUGAGGAAUUUUGGACAAUGGGCGAAAGCCUGAUCCAGCUAUAUCGCAUGAAUGAAGAAGGCUCAAUUGGUUGUAAAAUUCAUAGUUUCAUUGUAGAUUAUGACAUUGAUGAAAUGAAUAGUCCCGGCCAACUCCGUGC
This 427-nucleotide ribosomal RNA is filed under the name uncultured Trebouxia photobiont. RNAcentral's name for it is "bacterial SSU rRNA". It matches the Rfam family "Bacterial small subunit ribosomal RNA", at positions 64 to 508 of the family's 1533-position model. The record is from RNAcentral. Lineage: Eukaryota; Viridiplantae; Chlorophyta; Trebouxiophyceae; Trebouxiales; Trebouxiaceae.